Molecule: ribosomal RNA, 253 nt
Filed under: uncultured bacterium
Lineage: Bacteria
Description: partial 16S ribosomal RNA
Rfam family: Bacterial small subunit ribosomal RNA
Source: RNAcentral
UACGUAGGGGGCAAGCGUUGUCCGGAAUUAUUGGGCGUAAAGAGCGUGUAGGCGGUCCGGUAAGUCAGCUGUGAAAGUCAAGGGCUCAACCCUUGAAAGCCGGUUGAUACUGUCGGGCUAGAGUCCGGAAGAGGCGAGUGGAAUUCCCGGUGUAGCGGUGAAAUGCGCAGAUAUCGGGAGGAACACCAACUGCGAAGGCAGCUCGCUGGGACGGUACUGACGCUGAGACGCGAAAGCGUGGGGAGCAAACAGG